Molecule: long non-coding RNA, 2148 nt
Organism: Mytilus californianus (California mussel)
Lineage: Eukaryota; Metazoa; Mollusca; Bivalvia; Mytilida; Mytilidae
Exons: 6
Source: RefSeq, a predicted model, not a curated record
AGGUUGUUGUCGUGACUUUUCUACCAAACUCAUCCAAAGUGCAAUAUUGUUGUGUGAUUUUACUUUAUUCGCGUGUUUUAGAUAGAUGACAACACAAAUUACUAUCAAGAUAGAUAAACAGAAGUUAAAUUUUAUUUACAAUUUAAGUAUUCAAAUAUUGUAUGCUUUGUCAUUACAUAAUUCAACCGACUAGAUCUACAACAACCUAUUCUCGGGAACCAGGUUCUGUAACCAACAUCCUACAGACACUUGGCUGGUCAACACUAGCAACACGCAGACAAGGAGCCAGGCUUAUACUCCUAUAUAAGAUCCUGCAUGGAGAAGCAUCAGUCAUUGUCCCAGAUUACAUCAGGAGACCAACUGUAACAACCAGACAAUACCACAGAGACAGGUUUUCCAGAGUCAGCACUUCAACGGAUGCCCAUAAACACAGUUUCAUCCCCAGAACAAAUUUUUGACUGGCACCAAUUACCUGAAAGUGCCAUCCAAGCCCCCACAACAGACGCCUUCCGGGUCUGUGUGUGGCAGUUCCUGGCAUGGAUGGUAACUGAAUCAAUACAAAUAGCCUCAUUGAAUUUGAAAAAAAGCUGCAUAUGAUAUCAGUAACAAAAGAUUGUUAGUGUGCAGUGUGCAGUGUGCAGACAGUGGUUAAACAGAAGUUAACAUUCUAUUAGUUUUGGGAUUUUACAAUCAAUGCCAAAAUGAAUGAUAAUGCUAGAGGAAGUAAUAGGAGAAAAAGGGACCUGUGUGGUAAAAACUUCCUAAAAGUCGUCCUUUAUGUGUUCAACUUUUUCUUUUGGCUGACAGCCCGGUUAGCUUUCCUAGCAAUAGGGUUAUAUAUCAAGUUCCAGAAGCAUACCUAUAUCAAUCUGCUAGGGAACAGUACUUUCCCUUUGGCAACAUACUUGCUACUAGGAACAGGAGCCUUUAUUAUCUUGUCAGGAAUCAUUAGUUGUACUGGGACAUGUAUAGAAAAUAGAUGUUUUAUGGUUAUGGUUGGAAGAGACUGAUGAACUAUACAUAUCUGGGAUACAGAAUCAAUGAAACAUCGUCAGUACUGAAAGGUCAACAUCAAAGAGGGGUCUGUGCUGUAGACUUCUCAGGUCGUCCAGGCUUUUCAGUGACCACAUACUUCAGAAGCUAUUCAUUGCUUGAGCAGUAUAACCCAUAUAUACAAUAUAAAAGAAAACAAGCCACCUAUGAAUGAAAAUUCAGCAGUCAAAGCUACUUACUGUUUAGCAUGAUGCUCAUGUUAAUUUUUUUCUGCUCAUGUCCUGAUCUGCAUAAAUCAUGAUAGAAGUUGUGGAGAAACUAUUUUAUCCUUGAAAAACAUGUACAAAAUGUAUCAAGUGGGUAGAAAUUAAAGUACAUGUAAGAUGUACAUGUUUAAUAGGACAAGACUGAAUUUGAAAGCUUCAAAGUGCAAAUAUUCAUGUGUGGAUAUGGUUGAUAUAAUGUACUUAGCAAUUACAUAAGAUACUGAAUAAAAUGGACUCAGCAGAUAUUCAAAAAAUGGAGUUGGAAAGGCUACAUCGCAAAUUACAUGAGCUGCAAUAGUUUCCUAAGUUGGAUACUUUGAUAAAAAGGAAACCGAAUAACAACUGAACAAACUUAAAGAAUAAAUGUAUACUUUCUGUAAGAAAAAUCAGAGACCUCAUCCACCAAACAGUUAGUUUCUGAAAAUGAAAGUGAAUUAGUGACGAUAGUGAGAACCUACCCAAAAUAAGAAUUAUGCUAUUCAUGGUAGAUAUUAGAUGUGUUCUUGUUUUUGUGAAUAUGCAAUGAGAAUUGUAAGCCAGAAUGGAAGUGACAAUUCAUCGAAUAGUACAAGGACAAUGAUAUGGCUACUUUUGCUGUAAACUGAAAGUAAAUCAGUCUUUGCCAAGUCAGCUGUAUGUUGAGAGAUGUUCAGAACAAAGCAACUCUGUUUGAAGAGGAAUCACAGCGGUCAAGACUUCAUCCUAAAGUUAAUUGUAUUAGAAGAGAAGCUUUAACAGUCAUAAAACAAUAACCAAUCUUCAGUUGGUAUUUUUAAAAGACUUAUAAUGUGGAUGUUACUUUACUAUCAUUUAUAUGACUUAAAUGUGGCAUUUUUCAUGUGAAGUUGAACUCAAAAGGCAAAGAAUUGGAUGUGACAAUAACUUGCAU